UUUUGGCCCACAGCAGCACUUACCCCUCUCAAAACUCAGGCUCCUUCGCCAGGACAGAAACAACAUGGUUAUUUAUUACCUAGUGGCUUGUAGUCUCUGGGGAGGCUGCCAUGCACAGGAGUGAGGGAGGUGUAGAAGAACUGCUUAUUCUACAGAAAUCCUGAAAAGAAUCUAAAUCAUCUGGGGCAGAAUCAAUGCUACCUUAUACCAUGACUUGAAAUGAAUGGCUUGACUCAAAGAGUCAAGGAACAAGGAGCUCAUUUUGCCUUCCUUCGUCUUUGGAGGGUGUUCAUUGAGAUCCUGCUGAGAAAGCUGCUUUUCUCUCCUGAAUUUUAUCUUAACCAUCUCUAGAGGAUAUCAGGCUCAGAAUAUUAUUGUAUAAAUAAUACACUGUAAUACACUGGGGCUAACAACUAACUAACUACAACAACUACUAACAACACGGACUAACUCGUUUUCUGGCCAUCCUUUAGUUCAGAGUUAAAUCUAAUGGUAAGACCUUGGAUGGUAAGAAGGCGACCCCAUUAAGCCAAAAGGAAGCUCAAAUUGGGCUAUAUAGUCGAGAGAGAUUAAAAAUGUGGACCCUGGAAUCAAACAGAUCUGGCUUCCGGUCUCCACUGGAUCUGAUGUGUCCUUGCUCAAAUGCUUCACCGUCUCUGCAAGGGGGAGUUCAUAACCUUACGUGUCUGUCUAGGAAGUGGAAGGCGGAACAUGCUGGAUGUUCCACCUGGGCAUAAAGUGCUGGUUGCUGAUGGUUUUUUAAGAAGGGGUUAGUGUGCUUAGAUUGAAAGGGAAGCUCAGUAUCCCAAGAAAGUUUGCUGAGGGAAGACCGAGUUUAGCACAUUUCCUACCCAGUUUACAAAGGAUCUACUGAAGCCAUGAAAACGGAUCAGCUGGGAUCAAAGAUGGGAUGGACGGAUCUUAUCCGCGCUUGGAAAGAGCUGCGGUAACUCUUGAAUAUAAGCGAAGAGGACUUCACACCGAUUUUCUUUCUGCCAGCGUGUGGGAAGACCACGGUGUCAAUUCAAUGCAUUGACUUCAUGGAAUUUUAAGUAUUAUCCCAUCUUCGAAUUAAAAUAAGAGCCAAAGAAUAACAAAACCAAGUUUUCUCUUCGCCUGAAAUGAAUCGUAAAAGUAGAGACUAUUUAUAAGAUGAAAGUUGUAACAAAAGAAUUUUUGGAAUAAAGAAAAAUGUGUGUUUGGCACCUUUUAUCUGCAAUUGCUACAACAAAUAUCUUGUCUUCUUUAAAAGGUGCAGCUUUACCCACAUAUUAUGGAUGGGUUUCCAGACAGUGACUACAAAAUGAGCAGACUCACUUUGUUGGUGGUUUUGUGCCAGA
This is a long non-coding RNA of Mustela erminea (ermine), 1340 nucleotides long. RefSeq lists it as uncharacterized. Lineage: Eukaryota; Metazoa; Chordata; Mammalia; Carnivora; Mustelidae. The transcript is spliced from 3 exons. The record is from RefSeq and is a predicted model, not a curated record.